UGCGGGAUCGUCCAAUGGUAGGACGCAUGGCUCUGGAUCAUGUUAUCGGGGUUCGAAUCCCUGUCCCGCAGCCA
RNAcentral lists this transfer RNA (74 nucleotides) under Acidobacteriota bacterium. Its description in RNAcentral is "tRNA-Gln". It matches the Rfam family "tRNA". From Rfam's summary of the family: Transfer RNA (tRNA) molecules are approximately 80 nucleotides in length. Their secondary structure includes four short double-helical elements and three loops (D, anti-codon, and T loops). Lineage: Bacteria; Pseudomonadati; Acidobacteriota. RNAcentral also lists the same sequence under 1 other name. The record is from RNAcentral.